UACGGAAGGCAGCAGUGGGGAAUAUUGCACAAUGGGCGCAAGCCUGAUGCAGCCAUGCCGCGUGUAUGAAGAAGGCCUUCGGGUUGUAAAGUACUUUCAGUCGUGAGGAAGGUGUUAAGGUUAAUAACCUUAGCAAUUGACGUUAGCGACAGAAGAAGCACCGGCUAACUCCGUGCCAGCAGCCGCGGUAAUACGGAGGGUGCGAGCGUUAAUCGGAAUUACUGGGCGUAAAGGGUACGCAGGCGGUUAAUUAAGUUGGAUGUGAAAUCCCCGGGCUUAACCUGGGAAUGGCAUUCAAGACUGGUUAGCUAGAGUCUUGUAGAGGGGGUAGAAUUCCAUGUGUAGCGGUGAAAUGCGUAGAGAUGUGGAGGAAUACCGGUGGCGAAGGCGGCCCCUGGACAAAGACUGACGCUCAUGUGCGAAAGCGUGGGGAGCAAACAGGGAUUAGAUACC
Molecule: ribosomal RNA, 453 nt
Filed under: uncultured bacterium
Lineage: Bacteria
Description: bacterial SSU rRNA
Rfam family: Bacterial small subunit ribosomal RNA
Source: RNAcentral